This 71-nucleotide transfer RNA is filed under the name Ictidomys tridecemlineatus (thirteen-lined ground squirrel). Its description in RNAcentral is "Spermophilus tridecemlineatus (thirteen-lined ground squirrel) tRNA". It matches the Rfam family "tRNA". Rfam says of the family: Transfer RNA (tRNA) molecules are approximately 80 nucleotides in length. Their secondary structure includes four short double-helical elements and three loops (D, anti-codon, and T loops). Lineage: Eukaryota; Metazoa; Chordata; Mammalia; Rodentia; Sciuridae. The record is from Rfam by way of RNAcentral.
GGGGAUGUAGCUUAGUGGUAGAGUGCAUGCAGGCAUGCAUAUGGCCCUAGGUUUGAUCCCUAGCAUUGCAA